Molecule: ribosomal RNA, 780 nt
Filed under: Triticum aestivum (bread wheat)
Lineage: Eukaryota; Viridiplantae; Streptophyta; Magnoliopsida; Poales; Poaceae
Description: partial small subunit ribosomal RNA
Source: RNAcentral
AUGGAGCUUUUUCGAAACUGUCUUGAUGACUGCGGGCUGGUGGACCUUGGUUUUUCUGGACCGAAAUUCACCUGGACAAAUCGGCAAGACGCGCAAUGUAAUGUGCGUGUCAGACUUGAUCGCGCCGUGGCUAAUGGAGAUUUUACUGCACGGUUUGAGUUUUAUCAAGUGGAGAACAUUAUUACUACGACCUCUGACCACUAUGUGGUGGCCAUCUCCCUCGACUCCCAACGUGUGUUGGCGGACCGGCCUCCUGUGCAGCAUGGGUUCCGCUAUGAGGCUAUGUGGCGUCGGGCUGAAGACUACACUGAGGUGGUGGAGAACGCUUGGAGGGCUCAAGGUACUGGAGCUCACUCACUGCGGGAGACAUGGUCUGGUUUGAAAUAUGUGUCCGGUGCUCUGAAGGAAUGGAGCAAGGUGUCCUUUGGCUGUGUUCGUCGUGCUAUCCAGAGGGCCGAAAGGAGACUCAAGACUCUGCGCAUGUCACCAGUGAAUGCGGCUGUGCUGAAGGAAGAGCGCGAGCUGGAAUGUCAGCUAUGUGAAUUGUUUGAGCGUGAGGAAAUCAUGGCUCGCCAACGGUCUCGGAUCGACUGGCUCCGGGCGGGAGAUCGUAAUACGGAAUUCUUCCAUGCUCGGGCCUCUGCUCGACGAUGCACCAAUCGUAUCAAGGCCCUUGUGCGGGAGGACGGGUCAAAAUGUGUCUCACAGGCUGGGAUGAAAGAGAUGGUACAUGAGUUUUAUGAGAAUCUCUUCUCCGCCGAGGACUGCUUCUCUAUGGAG